This is a long non-coding RNA of Esox lucius (northern pike), 999 nucleotides long. The record is from Ensembl. NCBI's taxonomy places the organism in Eukaryota, Metazoa, Chordata, Actinopteri, Esociformes, Esocidae.
UUUAAUUCCAAGACAGCAUUCUUUACAAAGCUUGACAUAAACAAACAUAGACUACAGCACCCAACAAUAACUCACAACAAAGACUAGGGCAGGAGAAACUUAUAUAGGGACAUAAAAGGGAUAAAUGAGGAACAGGUGACAAGACUAAACUGGACAGAUGAAACCAAUGAUCUAAGGGAACUAAACAGAACACAGAAAUGAAGAAACUAGAACUGAACAUAGAAAUGUAAUGACCGGCACGGCACAGGCCUUAGCUGGCCUUUACAAUCACAAGUAAAAAAAUCCUGCUAGCCAGACUGUUUAUUUGUCCAUUUGUUUCACGUAGACUAAUAAGACCAUUCUUACCAAAUCAAGCCACCUCAAAACAGUGAACUAAAUAGCUUAAUUAAACUGCACUCAUAUCUCCCUGCAUCCUGACGUUUAAUUAGAGGAGCCAUUUCUGGAAAGAAGCAUUUAAGAAAUUACACCCUCCAAAAUCAAGCCCAAAAGGUUAUUCAUAAGGUUUUUCAAUAAGAAACUUCCACAGGUUGAAGUCACGUCCACAGGUUGAAGUCACGGCCACAGGUUGAAGUCACGUCCACAGGUUGAAGUCACGUCCACAGUUUGAAGUCACGGCCACAGGUUGAAAUCACGGCCACAGGUUGAAGUCACGGCCACAGGUUGAAGUCAUGUCCACAGUUUGAAGUCACGUCCACAGGUUGAAGUCACGGCCAUAGGUUGAAGUCACGGCCACAGGUUGAAGUCACGGCCACAGGUUGAAGUCCCGGCCACAGGUUGAAGUCACGGCCACAGGUUGAAGUCAUGUCCACAGUUUGAAGUCACGUCCACAGGUUGAAGUCACGGCCACAGGUUGAAGUCACGGCCAUAGGUUGAAGUCACGGCCACAGGUUGAAGUCAUGGCCACAGGUUGAAGUCACGGCCACAGGUUGAAGUCACGGCCACAGGUUGAAGUCACGGCCACAGGUUCUCUCCAGAUACAACGAUAAGUAGCAAUGUUCU